RNAcentral lists this ribosomal RNA (665 nucleotides) under Clostridium sp. 2NR375.1. RNAcentral's name for it is "bacterial SSU rRNA". It matches the Rfam family "Bacterial small subunit ribosomal RNA", at positions 57 to 739 of the family's 1533-position model. Lineage: Bacteria; Bacillati; Bacillota; Clostridia; Eubacteriales; Clostridiaceae. The record is from RNAcentral.
GCAAGUCGAGCGAUGAAGCUCCUUCGGGAGUGGAUUAGCGGCGGACGGGUGAGUAACACGUGGGUAACCUGCCUCAUAGAGGGGAAUAGCCUUUCGAAAGGAAGAUUAAUACCGCAUAAGAUUGUAGUACCGCAUGGUACAGCAAUUAAAGGAGUAAUCCGCUAUGAGAUGGACCCGCGUCGCAUUAGCUAGUUGGUGAGGUAACGGCUCACCAAGGCGACGAUGCGUAGCCGACCUGAGAGGGUGAUCGGCCACAUUGGGACUGAGACACGGCCCAGACUCCUACGGGAGGCAGCAGUGGGGAAUAUUGCACAAUGGGGGAAACCCUGAUGCAGCAACGCCGCGUGAGUGAUGACGGUCUUCGGAUUGUAAAGCUCUGUCUUUAGGGACGAUAAUGACGGUACCUAAGGAGGAAGCCACGGCUAACUACGUGCCAGCAGCCGCGGUAAUACGUAGGUGGCAAGCGUUGUCCGGAUUUACUGGGCGUAAAGGGAGCGUAGGUGGAUAUUUAAGUGGGAUGUGAAAUACCCGGGCUUAACCUGGGUGCUGCAUUCCAAACUGGAUAUCUAGAGUGCAGGAGAGGAAAGGAGAAUUCCUAGUGUAGCGGUGAAAUGCGUAGAGAUUAGGAAGAAUACCAGUGGCGAAGGCGCCUUUCUGGACUGUAA